UAAGUUGAUAGUGAAAUCGUGUGGCUCAACCACAUAUCCAUUAUCAAACUGCCAAGCUAGAGGACAAGAGAGGUCACUGGAAUUCCUAGUGUAGGAGUGAAAUCCGUAGAUAUUAGGAGGAACACCGAUGGCGUAGGCAGGUGACUGGCUUGUUCCUGACACUAAGGCACGAAAGCGUGGUAGCAAACGGGAUUAGAUACCCCGGUAGUCCACGCCGUAAACGAUGGAUGCUA
RNAcentral lists this ribosomal RNA (233 nucleotides) under uncultured Candidatus Saccharibacteria bacterium. RNAcentral describes it as "partial 16S ribosomal RNA". It matches the Rfam family "Bacterial small subunit ribosomal RNA", at positions 584 to 818 of the family's 1533-position model. Lineage: Bacteria; Candidatus Saccharimonadota. The record is from RNAcentral.